This is a long non-coding RNA of Mobula hypostoma (lesser devil ray), 438 nucleotides long. RefSeq lists it as uncharacterized. NCBI's taxonomy places the organism in Eukaryota, Metazoa, Chordata, Chondrichthyes, Myliobatiformes, Myliobatidae. The record is from RefSeq and is a predicted model, not a curated record. The transcript is spliced from 3 exons.
AUUUACUGAACAUCUUUAUGUCUCUGCAAUGCACAGCUGUUGCAGAACAACAAAUUUCAUGUCAAGUAAAUCAGUGACAAGUAAGUUGCUGGUCUGCCGGUGAGAAAUACCUAUGUACUGAAGGGAAACUGCCAUGGAUUCGGCAAAGAUGAAAGGCAGCUAUGUAGCACACAAGCAAGACAAGAGAGAGUGGACAACCUUGCCUAACUCCAGAAUUGAUGGGGAUACUAUCCACCUCCCACUCAUUGUCUUGGACAGCACUUGUCACUGAUUCAUUAAGGCUGUGGAUCACAGAGCUCCCCCUAUGGAUCUUUGGGAAGAAGCAUGAGCACGUCUCAUCCUACUCCACAAAGCGGACUCUGGAUCUGAAGCCAAUGUUAGAGGAUCCCGAGCAAAGAGUGCAGCUUUCCGUGUCUUCACAUCUCAGAGCUCCUUCAC